UACGUAGGGGGCAAGCGUUGUCCGGAUUUAUUGGGCGUAAAGAGCGUGUAGGCGGCCAGGUAGGUCCGCUGUGAAAACUCGAGGCUCAACCUCGAGAUGUCGGCGGAAACCAUCUGGCUAGAGUCCGGAAGAGGGGAGUGGAAUUCCUGGUGUAGCGGUGAAAUGCGCAGAUAUCAGGAAGAACACCCGUGGCGAAGGCGGCUCUCUGGGACGGUACUGACGCUGAGACGCGAAAGCGUGGGGAGCGAACAGG
RNAcentral lists this ribosomal RNA (253 nucleotides) under uncultured bacterium. Its description in RNAcentral is "partial 16S ribosomal RNA". It matches the Rfam family "Bacterial small subunit ribosomal RNA", at positions 524 to 776 of the family's 1533-position model. The record is from RNAcentral.